CGGUCCCGCAUGGGUUGUGGUAAAGUGGGAGGGAAGUUGGGAUGGGUUGGGGGAUGGUCAUUUGUCAUAAAGGAUUCUGGCCCUCGGUGAAACUUCUCUAUCUGGGCGUGUGCGAGAGCACAGGGGGGCGGGGGAGACAGGGCUUAAUCGUCAUGGAGGCCGCGACUGUGAGUCUCCUCUUUGGUCUUUUUGCGCGCGGUCGUGCGUGCGCGCGUGUGUAUGUGCACGCGCACGUGUGCGCUUAUGCCAGUCAAAAGGAAUGGCUGGAAGAUCCAGAGUGAGUGGAAGCUCAUGGUCAGAAGGAUUCACAACAGGUGGAAGCAGUAUGGAGUGUUUUAUCAUUUGAUAUUUCUACAUCAGCUGUCAAGGUAAUAGGAGGUAAUAAAAGUUGACAUUGUGUCCAUGUAUGUGCAUGCUUGCAUCUGUGCAUGUAUGUGCAUGUUUUAAUGCAGAAUAUUUCAGUAACAAGUAGAAAUGGUAUUUACACUGUAAUCUUUGUUGUCCAAAAUACCAUCUAGAGUUUGCCAG
RNAcentral lists this long non-coding RNA (528 nucleotides) under Mustela putorius furo (domestic ferret). RNAcentral's name for it is "lncRNA (ENSMPUG00000025441.1)". The record is from RNAcentral. Lineage: Eukaryota; Metazoa; Chordata; Mammalia; Carnivora; Mustelidae.